CCCCUGGUAGUCUAGUGGUUAGGAUGCGGCGCUCUCACCGCUGCGGCCAGGGUUCGAUUCCCGGUCAGGGGA
This 72-nucleotide transfer RNA is filed under the name Manacus vitellinus (golden-collared manakin). It matches the Rfam family "tRNA". From Rfam's summary of the family: Transfer RNA (tRNA) molecules are approximately 80 nucleotides in length. Lineage: Eukaryota; Metazoa; Chordata; Aves; Passeriformes; Pipridae. The record is from Rfam by way of RNAcentral.